RNAcentral lists this ribosomal RNA (253 nucleotides) under uncultured bacterium. RNAcentral's name for it is "partial 16S ribosomal RNA". It matches the Rfam family "Bacterial small subunit ribosomal RNA", at positions 524 to 776 of the family's 1533-position model. The record is from RNAcentral.
UACAGAGGGUGCGAGCGUUAAUCGGAAUUACUGGGCGUAAAGCGCGCGUAGGCGGCUUUGCAAGUCGGGUGUGAAAUCCCCAGGCUUAACCUGGGAACUGCAUUCGAGACUGCAUUGCUAGAGUAUGGGAGAGGGAAGUGGAAUUUCCGGUGUAGCGGUGAAAUGCGUAGAUAUCGGGAGGAAUACCGAUGGCGAAGGCAGGUCUCUGGGCUGACACUGACGCUCAUGCACGAAAGCGUGGGGAGCAAACAGG